Non-coding RNA from Pelobates cultripes (western spadefoot toad), 168 nucleotides. The record is from the annotation of a GenBank genome assembly. NCBI's taxonomy places the organism in Eukaryota, Metazoa, Chordata, Amphibia, Anura, Pelobatidae.
GCAGACACAUUCCAGCCAAUCAGCAGCAGACCCUCCCUCCCAGACCAUCCCACCUCCUGGACAGCUCACUAAGAAUGCAGCUUCACAAUGAAUGUAAAAUGGAUGCUGUCCAGGAGGUGGGAGGGUCUUGGAGGGAGGGUCUGCUGCUGAUUGGCUGGAAUGUGUCUG